ACGCUCGACACCUACGGGAGGCAGCAGUCGGGAAUAUUGCGCAAUGGAGGAAACUCUGACGCAGUGACGCCGCGUAUAGGAAGAAGGUUUUCGGAUUGUAAACUAUUGUCGUUAGGGAAGAGAAAGGACAGUACCUAAGGAGGAAGCUCCGGCUAACUACGUGCCACAGCCGCGGUAAUCUGAGCGGGCGUGGCAAGGC
RNAcentral lists this ribosomal RNA (199 nucleotides) under uncultured bacterium. Its description in RNAcentral is "partial 16S ribosomal RNA". It matches the Rfam family "Bacterial small subunit ribosomal RNA", at positions 328 to 538 of the family's 1533-position model. The record is from RNAcentral.